RNAcentral lists this long non-coding RNA (291 nucleotides) under Ostreococcus sp. 'lucimarinus'. Its description in RNAcentral is "long non-coding RNA (OLUC_LNC000012)". Lineage: Eukaryota; Viridiplantae; Chlorophyta; Mamiellophyceae; Mamiellales; Bathycoccaceae. The record is from RNAcentral.
AUGGACCAAAACACAUCGACACUUCUCUCACCAGACCAAAAUUCGAGCAACUAUGCGAUGAUCUGAUUAAUCGUUGCAAAGUUCCUGUUCAGCAAGCGCUGAAAGACGCGAAGUUAAGUCUAGCGGAAGUUGACGAAGUGAUUCUUGUUGGAGGCUCAACACGCAUACCUGCUAUCCGCGAAUUGGUCAAGAGUCUCACUAAGAAGGAACCGAACAUGAGCGUAAACCCCGAUGAAGUCGUAGCACUUGGCGCCGCUGUGCAAGCUGGGGUACUCGCUGGUGAAGUCUCGG